Molecule: ribosomal RNA, 892 nt
Filed under: uncultured Methanosaeta sp.
Lineage: Archaea; Methanobacteriati; Methanobacteriota; Methanomicrobia; Methanotrichales; Methanotrichaceae
Description: bacterial SSU rRNA
Rfam family: Archaeal small subunit ribosomal RNA
Source: RNAcentral
CUGAGGUUACUGCUAUCUGAGAUUCGACUAAGGCCAUGCGAGUUGAAUGUUCUUCGUGAACAUGGCGGACUGCUCAGUAACACGUGGACAACCUACCCUUGGGUCCGGCAUAAUCCUGGGAAACUGGGAAUAAUUCCGGAUAGGUCACCGAUGCUGGAAUGCGCGGUGGCCGAAAGCUCCGGCGCCCGAGGAUGGGUCUGCGGCCUAUCAGGGUUGUAGUGGGUGUAACGUACCUACUAGCCUACGACGGGUACGGGUUGUGAGAGCAAGAGCCCGGAGAUGGAUUCUGAGACACGAAUCCAGGCCCUACGGGGUGCAGCAGGCGCGAAAACUUUACAAUGCGGGAAACCGUGAUAAGGGGAUCUCGAGUGCCAGCAUAUAAUGUUGGCUGUCCAGAUGCCUAAAAAGCAUCUGUUAGCAAGGGCCGGGCAAGACCGGUGCCAGCCGCCGCGGUAACACCGGCGGCCCGAGUGGUAACCGCUAUUAUUGGGUCUAAAGGGUCUGUAGCCGGCCAGGUAAGUCCCUUGGGAAAUCUGGCAGCUCAACUGUCAGGCUGCUAGGGGAUACUGUUUGGCUUGGGACCGGGAGAGGUGAGAGGUACCUUGGGGGUAGGGGUGAAAUCUUGUGAUCCUCGAGGGACCACCAGUGGCGAAGGCGUCUCACCAGAACGGGUCCGACGGUAAGGGACGAAAGCUAGGGGCACGAACCGGAUUAGAUACCCGGGUAGUCCUAGCCGUAAACGAUGCUCGCUAGGUGUCAGUCACGGUGCGACCGUGAUUGGUGCCGUAGGGAAGCCGUGAAGCGAGCCACCUGGGAAGUAUGGCCGCAAGGCUGAAACUUAAAGGAAUUGGCGGGGSAGCCACYMSAACGGGUGGAGCCUGCGGUUUAAUUG